GACGAACGCUGGCGGCGCGCUUAACACAUGCAAGUCGAGCGAUGAAAUCUUAACAGAACCCUUCGGGGUGAAGAUAAGACGGAUUAGCGGCGGACGGGUGAGUAACACGUGAGUAACCUGCCUUUUACACAGGGAUAGCCUCAGGAAACCGGGAUUAAAACCUGAUGAAACUAUCAAAUCACAUGAUUAAGAAAGUUAAAACUCCGGUGGUAAAAGAUGGACUCGCGUCCCAUUAGCUAGUUGGUGAAGGUAACGGCCCCCCAAGGCAACGAUGGGUAGCCGGCCUGAGAGGGUGAACGGCCACAUUGGAACUGAGAAACGGUCCAAACUCCUACGGGAGGCAGCAGUGGGGAAUAUUGCACAAUGGGGGAAACCCUGAUGCAGCGACGCCGCGUGAGCGAAGAAGGCCUUCGGGUCGUAAAGCUCUUUUAUAUGGGAAGAUAAUGACGGUACCAGAAGAAAAAGCCCCGGCUAACUACGUG
This 482-nucleotide ribosomal RNA is filed under the name uncultured bacterium. RNAcentral describes it as "partial 16S ribosomal RNA". It matches the Rfam family "Bacterial small subunit ribosomal RNA", at positions 28 to 507 of the family's 1533-position model. The record is from RNAcentral.